This 407-nucleotide ribosomal RNA is filed under the name uncultured bacterium. RNAcentral describes it as "partial 16S ribosomal RNA". It matches the Rfam family "Bacterial small subunit ribosomal RNA", at positions 28 to 526 of the family's 1533-position model. The record is from RNAcentral.
GUUGAACGCUGGCGGCAGGCCUAACACAUGCAAGUCGAGCGGAGCGGCGGACGGGCGAGUAUUGCCUAGGUAUUUGCCUGGUGUUGGGGGAUAAAGGUAGGAAACGGGCGCUAAUACCUCAUACUUUUAGAUGAGAAUAGGUCGGAUUAGCUAGUUGGUGGGGUAAUGGCCUACCAAGGCGAUGUUCCGUAACUGGUCUGAGAGGGUGAUCAGUCACACUGGAACUCAGACACGGUGCAGACUCCUACGGAAGGCAGCAGUGGGGAAGAUUGGACGAUGGGCGCAAGCCUAGCCGAGCGGUGCCGCGUGUGUGAAGAAGGUCUUCGGAUUGUAAAGCACUGUCGGGUGGGAGGCGGUACCGACAGAAGAAGCCCCGGCAAUUUUCGUGCCAGCAGCCGCGGUAAUAC